This 340-nucleotide long non-coding RNA is filed under the name Neogobius melanostomus (round goby). RNAcentral's name for it is "lncRNA (ENSNMLG00000013235.1)". The record is from RNAcentral. Lineage: Eukaryota; Metazoa; Chordata; Actinopteri; Gobiiformes; Gobiidae.
GGAGCAGGCAUUCACGGUGUGUUGAGCGGAAGGACCGGGAGCAGCAUCUGCGAACAGGUUGCAUCUAAACGGGAGCUUUGGGAAUAAAACGAAGGCCUAGGAUUAACUCCAUCAGAGGAGCUGUCAGUCCGACCAAUUCCCACCAGGAGAAAGCGGAGAAGUUACAACCAACAUGGACGGCGCUGUCAGAAGCUGAAGAUGGGAUGGACAGACUGUGGCCAUGAUAAGACUCAGCCGUGCUUCUUUCCAGUCUCUGCUCUGACGUGAGACCCAGGGAGUCCUUUAACUAGAAUUGAUGUCAUCUUUGUCGAGGGGGCAGCCUAAAGCUGCGCCUCCGAGU